Molecule: ribosomal RNA, 301 nt
Filed under: uncultured bacterium
Lineage: Bacteria
Description: partial 16S ribosomal RNA
Rfam family: Bacterial small subunit ribosomal RNA
Source: RNAcentral
CAGUCGCCACGGUAAUACGGAGGGCGCGAGCGUUACCCGGAUUUACUGGGCGUAAAGGGCGUGUAGGCGGCCUGGGGCGUCCCAUGUGAAAGGCCACGGCUCAACCGUGGAGGAGCGUGGGAUACGCUCAGGCUAGAGGGUGGGAGAGGGUGGUGGAAUUCCCGGAGUAGCGGUGAAAUGCGCAGAUACCGGGAGGAACGCCGAUGGCGAAGGCAGCCACCUGGUCCACUUCUGACGCUGAGGCGCGAAAGCGUGGGGAGCAAACCGGAUUAGAUACCCCCGUAGUCCCUGUCUCUUAUAA